GAUGAACGCUGGCGGCGUGCCUAAUACAUGCAAGUCGAGCGAACAGACGAGGAGCUUGCUCCUCUGACGUUAUCGGCGGACGGGUGAGUAACACGUGGAUAACCUACCUAUAAGACUGGGAUACCUUCGGGAAACCGGAGCUACUACCGGAUAAUAUCUUGAACCGCAUGUUUCAAUAGUUACAGACGGUUUUGCUGUGCCUUAUAGAUGGUUCCGCGCCGCAUUAGCUAGUUGGUAAGGUAACGGAUUACCAAGGCAAGGAUGCGUAGCCGAUCUGAGAGGGUGAGCGGCCACACUGGAACUGAGACACGGUCCAGACUCCUACGGGAGGCAGCAGUAGGGAAUCUUACGCAAUGGGCGAAAGCCUGACGGAGCAAAGCCGCGUGAGUGAUAAAGGUCUUCGGAUCUUAAAUCUCUGUUAUUAGGGAAGAACAAUUGUGUAAGUAACGAUGCACGUCUUGACGGUACCUAAUCAGAAAGCAACGGCUAACUACGUG
Molecule: ribosomal RNA, 497 nt
Filed under: uncultured bacterium
Lineage: Bacteria
Description: partial 16S ribosomal RNA
Rfam family: Bacterial small subunit ribosomal RNA
Source: RNAcentral